Molecule: long non-coding RNA, 1103 nt
Organism: Dendroctonus ponderosae (mountain pine beetle)
Lineage: Eukaryota; Metazoa; Arthropoda; Insecta; Coleoptera; Curculionidae
Exons: 2
Source: RefSeq, a predicted model, not a curated record
UUAUGGUAUUUAUUAAAUAUUACACAGCUUUUCUGAUAAUAAACCAUCCUGAUCGUAAAAAAACAUUACCCUGUAACUACUUCUGGCGCAAGUGAUUCGGUGCCUACUAAUGGAAGAAAACUGCACUCAUAACAAAUUGCAUUAAACUUGACGAUAUUUUUUCGUUUGAUAAGAUAUUCAAUAAGUUGAAGGAAGUACAUACAUUUCUUUAGUUCAAAGGGGGAAAUAGAUUUGCUUAGAGAUGCAAGUUGCAAAAUGAUUAUCGCCAUAUAGAUAAAGUUUGAACCUUGCCUACUUCUACACAUAGCUUUUAAUCUUGUUGUGUUUUGGAUUGAGCCUUGAACGUUAUUAGAGUAAUUUAUUUUAAUUUUCCUAAAUAGCACUGGUUUGGUUGCUUGACUUUGCUAAGCAAAAAAGUUGACAAAUUUGGGAGCUCUUAGUUUGUGAUAUGUGUAUAGUAAAAUCUCAGCAAUGUAUGUUGUUUGGGUGCCACUGCUAAGCUGUUCGGUUGCAGUAGGUUUGACGGUAUUGUCAAGAACAAGGGCCCACGUUCAAGAACAUAAUUCAGAAAAAAUGGAGAAACUUUUCAAACAGCAGGUCAUGAGGACUAAUCAGACUAGAUAGCAAAGAAAAGUAAAAUGUUUGUAUAAUAAUGAGGUAUCUAUAGAUAGCUAUUGUAAUUGAUAUGUGUAGGGUAAUUUUAUAGAAUAUAUGAAUAAAUAUUAUAUAAAAACGGGUACGAUUCAUCCACCAAAUAAAAUAUUAUUGUAAAUUUUAAUGCAUUGCCGAUAAUAGUUUAGUUUUUACUUAAUUAGGUUUUAUUUAAUUGUGUAAUACAUCUAAUAUGAACUUGGAAAUUUCGAAUGUUUGAUUAUUAAUUAGUAUAGUAAAAAAUAGUUAUUUAUGUAACAUGUAAAACUUCUAAGAUAAAGCUAGAAAAUAUUAUGUUUGACGUAAUUUCUAUAAAGAAUUGACCAGGGUUUCAAAAAUGUAUUAAAAAUAAAAUCUGUUGACAUAAUGGCGAAUAAUUAGUGUAGAAAUAUAUGUUGCUAAAAUUUUCUCGAAGUACGGAACACAUUCGUCAAUACAAUUUGGACACCGUA